UAUACUGUGAAACUGCGAAUGGCUCAUUAAAUCAGUUAUUGUUUUUAAUAGUACCUUACUACAUGGAUAACCGUGGUAAUUCUAGAGCUAAUACAUGCUAAAAACCCCGACUUCGGAAGGGGUGUAUUUAUUAGAUAAAAAACCAAUGCCCUUCGGGGCUCCUUGGUGAAUCAUGAUAACUUAACGAAUCGCAUGGCCUUGCGCCGGCGAUGGUUCAUUCAAAUUUCUGCCCUAUCAACUUUCGAUGGUAGGAUAGUGGCCUACCAUGGUAGCAACGGGUAACGGGGAAUUAGGGUUCUAUUCCGGAGAGGGAGCCUGAGAAACGGCUACCACAUCCAAGGAAGGCAGCAGGCGCGCAAAUUACCCAAUCCCGACACGGGGAGGUAGUGACAAUAAAUACUGAUACAGGGCUCUUUCGAGUCUUGUAAUUGGAAUGAGUACAAUUUAAAUACCUUAACGAGGAACAAUUGGAGGGCAAGUCUGGUGCCAGCAGCCGCGGUAAUUCCAGCUCCAAUAGCGUAUAUUAAAGUUGUUGCAGUUAAAAAGCUCGUAGUUGAACCUUGGGCCUGGCUGGCCGGUCCGCCUCACCGCGUGUACUGGUCCGGCCGGGCCUUUCCUUCUGGGGAUCCGCAUGCCCUUCACUGGGUGUGUCGGGGAACCAGGACUUUUACUUUGAAAAAAUUAGAGUGUUCAAAGCAGGCCUUUGCUCGAAUACAUUAGCAUGGAAUAAUAGAAUAGGACGUGCGGUCCUAUUUUGUUGGUUUCUAGGACCGCCGUAAUGAUUAAUAGGGAUAGUCGGGGGCAUCAGUAUUCAAUUGUCAGAGGUGAAAUUCUUGGAUUUAUUGAAGACUAACUACUGCGAAAGCAUUUGCCAAGGAUGUUUUCAUUAAUCAGUGAACGAAAGUUAGGGGAUCGAAGACGAUCAGAUACCGUCGUAGUCUUAACCGUAAACUAUGCCGACUAGGGAUCGGGCGAUGUUAUUAUUUUGACUCGCUCGGCACCUUACGAGAAAUCAAAGUC
Molecule: ribosomal RNA, 1020 nt
Filed under: Phyllosticta minima
Lineage: Eukaryota; Fungi; Ascomycota; Dothideomycetes; Botryosphaeriales; Phyllostictaceae
Description: SSU rRNA
Rfam family: Eukaryotic small subunit ribosomal RNA
Source: RNAcentral